This is a long non-coding RNA of Alnus glutinosa, 746 nucleotides long. RefSeq lists it as uncharacterized. The transcript is spliced from 2 exons. The record is from RefSeq and is a predicted model, not a curated record. NCBI's taxonomy places the organism in Eukaryota, Viridiplantae, Streptophyta, Magnoliopsida, Fagales, Betulaceae.
GACUGGUGGUCGUUAUCAAGCACACCAAGGGGGAGCGUAGGAGAAAACAGAGUGCUUCUCCUUUCAAAAGACGGAAACCAGAAAGAGCCGUGAGAGGGGGAGCGUAGGACUGUAGGAGAAACGCAAGAGAGAGAGAGAGAGAGAGCAGACCACGGAGAGCUUGGGGGAAGAUUUUUUCGUUAUUGCAACGCAAGUCUCUGGAAGAAUUACAGCUUGGCUCGUGCGGGGUCUCCCAACUAAUCUUUACUUCAGCUUCAGUGCCAGAACUGUUGCUAGAAUUAGUGAAAAGCCACGUGCUCUCAAUAAACGGCAAUGAGUCAUUGAGAAGCUGAGUUGCUCCUGAAUUUCUAUCAUAUCCUACAUAUUUGACUUGGAUGACAAAUUUUCGUGUACUUGGAUCGAUACUGGCUACUCGAUAGGUGCCACUGGGAGCCUUGAAUUUAACCUGGCCUGUGGAACUGUUGCAAUCAAGCUUGAAGUACGUGUGUUCGCCGCAAUUUGGUCCAGUGCUCAGUGGAUAGGGUAUCAAGUUUGUGCCAAGGCUCACAAUUCCUAACAGUUGAUUCUGCAAAGGUAUAUAAAAUUUGGAAUAGUAAUGAUAACAAGUUGCGUGACAUGUCAAGUACUUCUAUAAAUACCCUAGCAGCCCACGGGUGACAAGUGACUCUUUAAUGUCAUCGUCAAGAACAAAAAGAAAGAUUAGCGAUAUGAUUUUAAAAUUCCAUAUCAGCAUAGGUGUUUUCUCA